Molecule: ribosomal RNA, 253 nt
Filed under: uncultured bacterium
Lineage: Bacteria
Description: partial 16S ribosomal RNA
Rfam family: Bacterial small subunit ribosomal RNA
Source: RNAcentral
UACGGGGGGGGCAAGCGUUGUUCGGAAUUACUGGGCGUAAAGGGCUCGUAGGUGGCCAACUAAGUCAGACGUGAAAUCCCUCGGCUUAACCGGGGAACUGCGUCUGAUACUGGAUGGCUUGAGUUUGGGAGAGGGACGCGGAAUUCCAGGUGUAGCGGUGAAAUGCGUAGAUAUCUGGAGGAACACCGGUGGCGAAGGCGGCGUCCUGGACCAACACUGACACUGAGGAGCGAAAGCAUGGGGAGCGAACAGG